GGGCGAGUGGCGGAAUGGCAGACGCGCUGGGUUUAGGACCCAGUGAUCGCAAGAUCGUGGAGGUUCAAGUCCUCUCUCGCCCACCA
RNAcentral lists this transfer RNA (86 nucleotides) under bacterium. RNAcentral's name for it is "tRNA-Leu". It matches the Rfam family "tRNA". Rfam says of the family: Transfer RNA (tRNA) molecules are approximately 80 nucleotides in length. Their secondary structure includes four short double-helical elements and three loops (D, anti-codon, and T loops). The record is from RNAcentral.